GAUGAAGAACGUAGCGAAAUGCGAUAAGUAAUGUGAAUUGCAGAAUUCAGUGAAUCAUCGAAUCUUUGAACGCACAUUGCGCCCCUUGGUAUUCCGGGGGGCAUGCCUGUUCGAGCGUCAUUAUAACCCCUCAAGCACGGCUUGUGUGUUGGGCCCCGCCCCCCGAUCCCGGGGGGCGGGCCCGAAAGGCAGCGGCGGCACCGCGUCCGGUCCUCGAGCGUAUGGGGCUUUGUCACCCGCUCUGUAGGCCCGGCCGGCGCCUGCCGAUCAACCAAACUUUUUUCCAGGUUGACCUCGGAUCAGGUAGGGAUACCCGCUGAACUUAAGCAUAUCAAUAAGCGGAGGA
This 346-nucleotide unclassified non-coding RNA is filed under the name soil metagenome. RNAcentral's name for it is "partial contains 5.8S ribosomal RNA, internal transcribed spacer 2, and large subunit ribosomal RNA". The stretch from base 1 to 120 matches the Rfam family "5.8S ribosomal RNA", at positions 35 to 154 of the family's 154-position model. The record is from RNAcentral.